GAGACACCCUUCUGGGGCAAGACUUGCUUCAGUGGGGCUUUGGUGCUCACUGAGUCUGCCCCCUGCGUGUGUCCUU
RNAcentral lists this microRNA precursor (76 nucleotides) under Myotis lucifugus (little brown bat). RNAcentral's name for it is "mir-9229 microRNA precursor family". It matches the Rfam family "mir-9229 microRNA precursor family". The record is from Rfam by way of RNAcentral. Lineage: Eukaryota; Metazoa; Chordata; Mammalia; Chiroptera; Vespertilionidae.